AAUUCAUGCAUUGGAAAUUUAUGCAGCAAAUCUUUGAAUCUCUCCCAUGCCUCAAACAAAUUCUCAUCUUAUAAUUGAUUAAAAGAUGUCAAGUCAUUUCGCAACU
Molecule: small nucleolar RNA, 106 nt
Organism: Hibiscus syriacus
Lineage: Eukaryota; Viridiplantae; Streptophyta; Magnoliopsida; Malvales; Malvaceae
Source: RefSeq, a predicted model, not a curated record